This is an RNA transcript of Apis laboriosa (Himalayan honeybee), 3140 nucleotides long. It is a transcript of the gene named tubulin polyglutamylase TTLL13, with no coding region annotated. The record is from RefSeq and is a predicted model, not a curated record. The transcript has 13 exons. Lineage: Eukaryota; Metazoa; Arthropoda; Insecta; Hymenoptera; Apidae.
UUUAUUAGUAUACGAAUUCUAUGCAGUUAUAUUGCGCCGUAAUUAAAGUAAUGAAGCAAUUCUCGAGCUAAGUUUUGCGUGAACUGAACCGCAGUAGCAUUGAUUAACCUGCGUCGUCGCACGGAUAUUUGCUUAAAAACUUUCAGAUUAAUUUUACACUGAAUCGAAAUUAGAAUACGAGUCGAGAUUCGGAUAAAAUCAAAUUUCCGUCGAGUCUGUCUUCUUGCCUCGAGAAAUGGAAAAACAAUUGAGGCGAGGAACGAUAUGUAAAACAGAUUUUGGGAGGGGCAUUUCUGUAAAUGGAACCGAAUUUCGGUUUCUCGUACGCCAAUAAAUUGAUCAUAGUCGAAUCAUCUUUUUCACCAAGGAUAUUAUUAUAGUUUAAUCUUUAUCUAAGUAGUCGAUUUCGCAUUCGAAAUAAAAUUGACGAAGCCACGUAUUUGUAUAAUGCAGAUCUGAUUUGAUUUGUAAUCAAAUUAAUACCAUGCAACGAGAGAUCGUUUAAAAUAAUGAGAUACACCGGUCAUGAACGUCAUCGAACGCAACAACAAACGUCCUUUGAUGGUGGUGCGCGAGAACGAAACUGGUGAUAUAAAAAAGAGUGGCGAGAUCACGUGUGAAUCGGAUUCAAGUACCGAAGUGCGAUCAUGUAAAACUGUAUACAGAAAUCGAUGCAAAAAACUCGUAGUUGUAUCUGAUACUUCAUUAAAUAUUAUUUCAUUUACCGAUUCGAAUAAAAAUGAUCGAAAACCAAUUAUACCCAAAUGUUUAACGGAUAAAAAAGAUGAGAAAGGUGAUUUGUCAUUUGUGGAUACCGACGAUGUCGAGUCAAGAAAGGAAGGAAUUUCGAUCAAGAAGAAAAAGAAGAAACGAAGAUAUUUGACGAUAUGUACGAGUAAUUGUAAAUACGACGCGGUGAGACGAGUAGCAGCUCGUUUUGGAAUGAAAGAAGUUACCGAGGAUAGCAGUUGGAAUCUUUACUGGACAGAUUUGAGCGUGAGCGUGGAACGGGCGAAAGAUAUGAAGAGAUAUCAAAAGGUUAAUCAUUUCCCCGGAAUGACGGAAAUCUGUAGAAAGGAUUUAUUAGCUCGAAACUUGAAUCGCAUGUUGAAGCUUUUUCCAAAAGAUUAUAACUUUUUCCCCAAGACAUGGUGUUUUCCCGCAGACCACGGAGAAGCGAUAGCCUAUGCGAAAUUAAGACGCUCGAAAACUUUCAUCAUUAAACCUGAUACAGGGUGUCAAGGACGUGGCAUUUACUUGACAAAAAACUUGAGAGAUGUUAAACCGAGCGAGCGCAUGAUUUGUCAAGUUUACGUGGCCAGGCCCUUCCUGGUAGACGGUUACAAAUUCGAUCUUCGUAUCUAUGCAUUGCUCACCUCCUGCGAUCCUCUUAGAAUUUAUGUGUACAAUGAUGGUCUUGCGAGAUUUGCCACGAGUAGAUAUAAGGAACCCACCGGUCACAACACAUCCAACGUUUUUAUGCACUUGACUAAUUAUGCCGUGAAUAAACAUAGUCGAAUGUAUGUAAUCGACGACGAAAUUGGUAGCAAAAGGAAAAUAUCAACUUUGAAUAAGUGGUUUAAAAUGAAAGACAUCGAUGUGGAUGAAAUGUGGCGUAAAAUCGACGAGAUCAUUAUAAAAACCAUUUUGGCGGCAUAUCCUAUUUUGAAACAUAGUUAUCAUACGUGUUUUCCUACACACGAUAAAACAUACGCGUGUUUCGAGUUACUCGGUUUCGAUGUGUUACUCGAUUGGAAACUAAAACCAUAUCUCUUAGAGGUUAAUCAUUCGCCGAGUUUUCAUACAGAUGCACAAAUUGAUAAGGAUAUAAAGGAGGGUCUCUUGAUGAAUACAUUUGAAAUGCUGAAUUUUCAACAAUGCGACAAGAAAAAAAUUAUCGAAGAAGAUAGAAAGCGAGUUAGGGAUAGGCUGCUUCAGGGAAUAAAUUCUAAGGAUAGCAAUACGAACGAUUCGAUCGGUACGACAUCGAAACCUGAAAAGUUGGAGGAAGAUUAUCUCCAAAAGCAAUUUAAAUGGGAGGAAGAACAUAUGGGCAAUUUCCGUAGGAUCUAUCCAUGUUCCGACUGUGAAAAAUACGAACCAUUUUUUAAGCAAACUAACAUAUCCGUAUAUCAAGAUACUGCGGCAUCUAGAGCUCGAGAGGAAGCAUCGAGGAUCCAAAAGGAAGAAAAUGAGGUGAAAAUGAAGGAACAAGAAAAUAAGAAGAUUUCUGGUAAAUGCAGUGAUUCGAAGUUACAUUCAGAGAGUCCAAACGCGACACAGAAGAAUACAAUAACAAAUGAUCAGGAGAAGAGUAAAUCUGUGAAUAUAUCGAAAAAAAAUAAUUCUUGUUUACAUAUAAAGAAGCAGACGGCUUCAAAUAAUAUUUCACAUUCGUUCGAGCCAGAGAUUAUUUGUGAAUCUGAGGAAAGAGAACGUGUUACAUCAUUAGCACAACGGGAUUUCUUGAUUAAGAGUUAUGGAAUGUUGGAGCAAAUAUAUAUGGCAAUGAAGAAGAACGGUACAUUACGAGCUAUCGACGAGAAAAAAUAUGGGUUGUACGGAAGACUUGGAUAUACAGAUAACAUAAGCAGAAGUGCAUCUAUUUGUAGACACAAAUGUCACAUUCACUCUUCUGCAAUAGAGACAAGAUAUGAACCAUGGAUAAAUCAAUCAUCGCAAUUUUGCCUGAAAGCAAGGUAAAGUGAUGGACGAUAAUUUUGCAUUCAUGAACUUAAAAAACAAAAAAUUUUUAUAUGCGAGAUUUCAAGGUAAUUUGUAACGAAAAACCGGUUUAUAUUCGACCAAACAUACCAAAGAAAUUUUGGAUAAAUGAUAUGAAUUCGAAAGAUCGAAACUGUAGAAUUACGAAAGCUCACGUUGCUCGUACUUUAUCGAAUAUUGUACGCCUUCAUACACUCGAAAAACGACAAAAGUUCUAUCUUAAAUUUUCAUAAGUACGCGUUAUGAUUUAAUGAACAUUCUUACGAGAGAGACAUAAUGUGAAUCGAAUACACAUUUGGACACAAUUGUAUUUCAUGAUUGCUAUUUUAAGUAAUUUCUAACAAUUCCGUUAAUUUAUAAUAUUAAAUUGUACUACUUUUUUUAAAAUUUCAUUAAAAGAAAAAAAAAAGGAAAAA